ACGUAGGCAUACUUAUAAAACAACUUAGGACCUUGAUUCGCACAGGUGCUUAUUUUUGUUGAUGCUACCAGACAAAACUCUGGUAGUGACGAGUAAUUAUUAUUCGCUAUCUUAAUAAAACGCAAUUCGUCGUGUCUUGAAUUUUAGCUAGAAAAUUAAAAUUAACAAAUUAAAUUGCGCCAUUAAAGUUUGGAAUAUUUCUGCUGAAUUUAAAGUGUACAUUUUUUAACGAAGAAAUUGCCCAAAUGAGGAAUAGAGUAGUAUGUCUGCUAAUAAUAGUAAUGAAUUCUGGAAACAGAGUUCAUUUUGCGGAUUCAUUUUCCGUCUCAGUUCCUGCAACUCGAUCCGUGUGCAAAAGUAUGAAACCUGGGCAUGACCAGUACAAGCCACAAGCGUCUUCCUCCUCACCUGGUAAUGUGACCACGGAUAUUACCCAGGUUCGUGGCGGAGAAACGGUGGAUGGUAAUGAAUAACUCUUAAAAAUCUCUUAACAGAUAGGUGACCUUUGUAGCGUUUAAUUUAGUGUCUUGCGAAAAAAAACUGCCAGAAAUUUUCGCCAAUUUUUACAAAUAGGCAAAUAUAAUAAUUUGUUAUAUACUAAAUAGAUGGUUCUUAUUUCUUGCCUUUUUGCAUCGCGUAAGAAAUUCUGUCCGAAAAACAACACAAUUUCUUACAGUAGUUUCGUGCAUGUGGUGUUUUUUACAGAUAGCAGUGCAUGAUAACUUAUAUUUCAUACAUUUCAAAAGACAUGAAAUGUGGAUGAUUUUUAAUUUCUAAGAAAUCUGCAGAAAUCCUUGUCUCCUUAGUCACAAUUUAUGCAAGAAAUGGAGAAAAAUUCAAAGGCUUCUACAUCCAAGCCAGGGAUGAAAAAGGUGCCCCGAUUGGAACAUUUAAUGAAAACACUUAUGUAAAAACGCACAGUUGCGGUGGAAUAAAGUCGAAUGCUGCCCAUCACGUAAAUUCUGAAGACAAAACUAAAGUUCAAGUGUCCUGGACGGCGCCUGCGAAUUACAAUGGCAGAGUGCAAAUUCUGGCCACCAUCGUGCAACGAUUUAAUACGUACUGGACUGGAAUUAAAGCGAAUGCGAUUUCCGUUGUCGGUUAAAAACAGUGUUUUGAAAUAUUGAAAAUUGUAUCGAAAUUUAAAAUAAAUAAUGCAAGGUUGCAAGUGAAUUUUCUCGUGGGCGAAACUUUCCUCAAAAUUAAUCGCAUGACUUAUGUACGGUCCCGAAGGGAUGGUUGAUUAUUUUUAUCCAGGAAUUUGUCAGGUAUCCACUGGUUGCUAUGGUUACAAAAUAAAUGCAUCCUUUUUUACACCAAACGAACCAACAUUAGCUUUCCAUCCAUAUUACUCUAACACAACACUGCACAGUUAAAUCCUGUAAAUACAUAAAAUAUUUCCCAACACACGACACCAAAUUAAAUUUAUUGGACCAGACAAACUCAAUAAGUAUCUAUGCACCAAAUUAAAAUGGAUGUGAACCCAGGACAGAAAUGGGGAUGUCCAAGGUGCUCGAAAACGUUAAAAACUGAUAACCCGUUGGACACAAACAUGGUCAGGAACGAUCCCGAUGCCAAGGUCAAAUGUGAGGUUUGCGAAAUAAUUGCUAAAAACACACUCGCCUUAUCUUCCCGCUUUAAGAAGCUACCAAGUUGUGACACGUGUCAACGGGUGUUUUCCAAUUCGUAUAACUUACAGCGACAUGUUGACGCCAUCCACAGCACGAGGGAACGACCUCGUUUUCCAUGUACGUCUCUUGGAUGUGGCAAAACCUACCAAAACAAGCGUGGUCUUUUGCAUCACGUGAAAACUGAACAUGCCGAAAAUCCGGUCCGAUUUCCGUGCACACUUUGCGAAAAGGAGUUCAAAACGAGGCCUCAAGUUCAGAAUCACGUUCUCACCCAUACGACGGAGAAGCCGUACAAUUGUGUCACUUGUGGGAGGAGUUUUGCCCACGUGGGAAGUAUGAAACGGCACGAGAUCACGCAUUUGGAAAAAUCUACCCUAGAUGUGCCAAAGUGUCACAUCUGUCCUAAAACCUUCUUAAGUAGGAUUGGUUUACAACGGCACAUCCGAGUUGUGCAUGAAAAUCAAAGGAAUUAUCCUUGCGCAUUUUGUGACAAGAGAUUCUCUCACUCAUCAAAUUUGAGGGUUCACGUGGAGGCGAGACAUGCCACGAACAAAGGGCCGAUCCAUUCCUGCGACAAAUGCGAGUACAGGAGCUACUCGAAACACAAUUUGGCCAAUCACAGAAGGCGUCACAAGGUUGCGAAUCAUGGAUGUUACUUCUGUGGGAAGAAAUUCAUCAGUUUUCCCGAAUUGGUCCAACAUUUUAAGGUGCAUACUUUAGAAAAGUUAAAACAUUUAGGUCAUGGAUAGGUCAUGGCACGUGGAUAAUUUGCGAAUUUUUCCUACAGUAAAAAUUUUGUCAAAUAUCGAAAACCUAUAGAUUUUCGAUAUUUGAAAAACUUUUUGAAUUGAAAAUCAUGAAUGUUAGUUAUUUGACACAUACAUACUUAUUUGCUAGUAAGUACUAUACAUGCCUAAAUCUCGUUAAAUUUAUUAAUAUCCGAAGUAUGUACAUAAGUAGUUGCUUUGAAUAUGCAUCUUCUAGGUACUCAAUACAUACCAUACAUAUGCAUAUGUGCAUACACGGUGUAUGUAUGUAUGUACACAUGCAAGAUUUGUUUGCGUGUAUAAUACAAAUCUUGCAUUGCAAAAUAGUCGGCUCAUUCCGAAUUGCACAUUUUUUACCCGACGGCCUUUACGUAUGUAUGUAUGUAAAGUGUGAUGCUCUGUAAUAAAGUUUCUUUCACUAUACUGUACAUCUAUGCAUUACUCUAUGUAGAACAUACAUAUGUACAUAUCACCAUAUCACCACCCCUUGCCACUCAACUUUCUUAACUCACAGAUUUAUACAUCUGAAUUCUUCAAAGCAUUAAAAAAUACAAUAUUUACAAAUAAUUUCUUGCUAAAAUGCUGAAAUGUGUAGCCCUAUCUGUAAAAAUUACCCACCCUACUACAAAACAAACCGAGUGGAGAAGUGGACUAAUUCCUCCAGAAGAACGAGAAAAUCCAUCCUUCAAUUUAAUCAAGUGGGGAAUUAAAGAGAAACUUAUUCCAUUCCGGGAUGAAGGACCUCGCAACUUGUCUCAAUUUCGGGAUAAUCUCACCCAAUUUCUGACCAGCAGGGAGCAACAGGCCGAACUCUACGCACAAUUUGACGUACCUCCAAUACCAACUUGGACUCCGCUUAUAGAACCAAUCCAAAUUACAGGGGAAGAAAUCGACGCAAUGAUCAGAGACGAAGUACGAAAUCGUGCCAAUUUCGAGGAACAUCGUGAACCUUGCAAAGCUUUGGAGGAAGCAGUUAUGCACCCAGAUACUCAGGAGUGGCUGAAUAAUGGCAAAAUCUUAUUUCUCGGAUCCCAGCGACCCUUGAACUGCAUCAUGCAGAAAUCUGAGUACAACCUUGGCCUGAGGAGGGUUCUAUCUUCCCUCCAUCCAUCCCAAAUUUACGACAUGUUUGCCAAAACCGUCUACAAUUCUGACGAUCGACGAUAUCAACAGCGUUCCGCAAUCGGACGAAUUGCAGAGGACAAAGUUCUCCAAAAUAAAUCAGGUUUAUCUACCAUUCUGAGAUAGACUGUGGUCCGAACUGUGCCGGAAAUGGAAUUGAAUUCAAGACAAAGACUUUCUUUGCUGAUGAAAAACACAAAGCAGUCAAUUUUUUGGAAUCAAGGAUUACUUACAGCAACAAGCUGAAGGAGAUUUAUUGCAAAGCAUAUCUCUCACGAUUGAACACGGCUGUAUUUGCGCUACUGGAGGAACAAACAGACCCUUAUGGACCGAGCAACUUUGACAUUAAAAAUAUGCGGUUUUACGACACAGCGAUGAUUGCUUCAACUCCGGAAGAAGACUUGGGAGUUUGGACCGAAGCCGAAAUCCAACAUGAAUUGGAAAACUUUGGAGAAUUUCUAAAAUCACUACAAUUUAUUCAGGCUACUAGUAACCUGAAAAAGAAAUUGUUUGAGAUCGUUGGCAAGAAAUUUAACAGAGGCAGGACUUCGAUAACGAUAAGUUCACCAACAUAUAUAAGACAGUCGAACUAGGUACUCGAUGUAUGUAUUCAUCACUAGUUCGCAUCGUAAUGGUAACAACUUUAGAAAAA
Molecule: RNA transcript, 4172 nt
Organism: Folsomia candida
Lineage: Eukaryota; Metazoa; Arthropoda; Collembola; Entomobryomorpha; Isotomidae
Gene name: putative defense protein
Exons: 9
Source: RefSeq, a predicted model, not a curated record